GGAUGAACGCUAGCGGCAGGCCUAAUACAUGCAAGCCGAACGGCAAGAUUGAUAGCAAUAUUGAUCCUAGAGUGGCGUAAGGGUGCGUAACACGUAUGCAAUCUACCCUCAACAGGAGGAUAGCUCCCCGAAAGGGGAAUUAAGACUCCAUAAGAUCAUUUGGUGGCAUCAUUGAAUGAUUAAACUUCCAGGGGUUGAGGAUGAGCAUGCGCCGAUUAGUUAGUUGGCGGGGUAAGGCCCACCAAG
This 246-nucleotide ribosomal RNA is filed under the name uncultured bacterium. Its description in RNAcentral is "partial 16S ribosomal RNA". It matches the Rfam family "Bacterial small subunit ribosomal RNA", at positions 27 to 272 of the family's 1533-position model. The record is from RNAcentral.